GUUUCCUUCUGAUGAUUUACAUCAAAUGGUGCAUUUCCCUUCAGUCUGUGGGAUCAUACAAGGAUAGAGAACAUUUUCAUAUUUAGAGCAAGAAAGCACAUAGCCUUUUACACUGGGAAGGAUAUGGGCAGUAUAGAUUCUUAUAAGCAAGAUUUUCCUUCUGGUAGCUUCAGAAACAAGAUUAAUGGGCAUUAAUUGACAGGGACAUCAGGUCUGUUUUUUUUUUCUCUUUAUCCCUUCCUUCCUGAAAACUGCCAUUCAGCUUCUUUUAAGAUAUCAGGAGGGGCAAAAGAAUUGUGUUUUCACUUCUGCAAUCUUCCAUAGGCUUGUUGUGUGACUGCAUGGAUUUCUUCAUCUCUCUUUGUUUUCUUCUGGGAGAACCAAAGAGCGGUUUGUGUUGGAAGGGACCUUAAAGAUUAUCUAGUUCCAACCCUCCUGCCAAGGGCAGUAACAUCUUCUGCUAGACCAGGUUGCUUAAAGCCCCAUCCAUCCUGGCCAUGAACACUUCCAGCGAUGGGGUGUCCACUCCUCUGGGCUCCCUGUUCCAGUCCCUCACCACCCUCACAGUAAAGAAUUUUUUCCUAAUAUCUAAUCUAAACCUGCCCUCUUUCACUUUAAAGCAAUUACACCUUGUUCCAUCACUACAUGCCCUUUUAAAGUUUCUAUCACCACUUUUCUUAUAGGGUCCCUUUAGGAACUGGGAGAUGCUGUAAGGUCUUCCCAGAGCCUUCUCUUCACCAAGGUGAACAGCCCCACUCUCUCAGAUUGUCUUCAGGAGAGGUGUUCCAGCCCUCUGAUCAUCUUCAUGGCCUUUGGACUCACUCUGGCAGGUCCAGUCCUUCUUGUGUCAAGGGCCCCAGAACUGGAUGCAGCACUCCAUGUGUCACCAGAGUGGAGUAGAAGGGCAGAAUCACUCCCCUGGACCUGCUGGCCACACUGCUUUGGAUGCAGCCCAGGAUUCCAUUGGCUUUCUGGGCUGCAAGUGCACAUUGCUGGCUCAUGUCAAGCUUGUCAAACAGCAACCCUGAGUCCUUCCCCUCAGAGCUGCACUCAAUCCACUCUCCACCCAGCCUGUGUUUGUGCUUGGGAUUAUCUUGAACCAGGUGCAGGGCUUGCACUUGCUGUUGUUGAAUUUCAUGAGGUUUUCACAGGUCCACUUCUCAAGCUUGUCAAGGUCUCUCUAGAAGGAGGACCGUUCUUGCUUUCUGUUGAUGAUUUCUUUUUCUGCCUUCCAGAGCCUCUUUGAAUCUCACCAAAGACAGGGAGAAUAUUUUCCUUGACCUCCCCAGCUCUGCAGUCAGUCCCGCUGUGUGCCGUGCUUUCUGUUAACUCCAGGGAUGCAGUCUAGGAGCACCAAUUUACCACAGCUUGCACCGGAAAGGUUUGAAAACUGAAUGUAUUAGAGACACAGGAAGCUGUGCAGUCGGAAAAAUGUGAAUUUAUAUCUUUCCUGUAAAUCAUUUCAACUGGUGUGCAUUUCCACUUUUGAUUUCUGAACAUGGAUCCAGGAAAAUAAAAGAGCAAAAUAUAUGUUCA
Molecule: long non-coding RNA, 1536 nt
Filed under: Cyanistes caeruleus (blue tit)
Lineage: Eukaryota; Metazoa; Chordata; Aves; Passeriformes; Paridae
Description: lncRNA (ENSCCEG00000009495.1)
Source: RNAcentral